This 45-nucleotide non-coding RNA is filed under the name Schistosoma mansoni. The record is from RNAcentral. Lineage: Eukaryota; Metazoa; Platyhelminthes; Trematoda; Strigeidida; Schistosomatidae.
AUUCAGCCGACGAGUCCCAAAGAGGACGAAACUCGAGUCCUUGAU